CGUACACUCCUACGGGAGGCAGCAGUGGGGAAUAUUGGACAAUGGGCGAAAGCCUGAUCCAGCAAUGCCGCGUGAGUGAUGAAGGCCUUAGGGUUGUAAAGCUCUUUUACCCGGGAUGAUAAUGACAGUACCGGGAGAAUAAGCCCCGGCUAACUCCGUGCCAGCAGCCGCGGUAAUACGGAGGGGGCUAGCGUUGUUCGGAAUUACUGGGCGUAAAGCGCGCGUAGGCGGCUUUGUAAGUUAGAGGUGAAAGCCCGGAGCUCAACUUCGGAAUUGCCUUUAAGACUGCAUCGCUAGAAUCGUGGAGAGGUGAGUGGAAUUCCGAGUGUAGAGGUGAAAUUCGUAGAUAUUCGGAAGAACACCAGUGGCGAAGGCGACUCACUGGACACGUAUUGACGCUGAGGUGCGAAAGCGUGGGGAGCAAACAGGAUUAGAAACCCCGGUAGUCCCA
This 451-nucleotide ribosomal RNA is filed under the name uncultured organism. RNAcentral describes it as "partial 16S ribosomal RNA". It matches the Rfam family "Bacterial small subunit ribosomal RNA", at positions 330 to 797 of the family's 1533-position model. The record is from RNAcentral.